CCUUGGUUUAACUCAAAGGUGCAGCCUGCCCUAUGGUUUUUUAAAUGUUUUAUAACUAAAACCUAAACAGAAACUAAAUGGCCGCGGUAACUCUGACCGUGAUAAUGUAGCGAAAUCAAUCGUCGUUUAAUUGACGACCCGUAUGAAAGGUUAAACGAAUUUCCCCCUGUCUCGAAAAUAAACCCCAUCGAAAUUGUAUCAGUAGUGAAGAUACUACUAUGAGAUUGCUAGACGAAAAGACCCUAUAGAGCUUAACUAUAUUCUCAAUCUACGACAUUUUAUAAAUAUAAAAGUGCAUUGAGAGUGGUAGUUUGGUUGGGGCGACCUUCUUCUAUAACAAACGAAGAUAAACAAAGGCAUUUUGAUUUUUAAUUGCUUAAUUGUUUAAUUCAUAAAUUUAACAAAUACUAACGUAGGUAAAAAUGACCCGUUCAUUUUAAAAAAUAAAGAGAACGAUCAAUAAAUAAAAGCUACCUUAGGGAUAACAGCGUAAUCUUGUUCAAGAGCCCUUAUCGACAACAAGGUUUGCGACCUCGAUG
Molecule: ribosomal RNA, 539 nt
Filed under: Craspedacusta ziguiensis
Lineage: Eukaryota; Metazoa; Cnidaria; Hydrozoa; Limnomedusae; Olindiidae
Description: partial 16S ribosomal RNA
Rfam family: Bacterial large subunit ribosomal RNA
Source: RNAcentral